Molecule: ribosomal RNA, 404 nt
Filed under: uncultured bacterium
Lineage: Bacteria
Description: partial 16S ribosomal RNA
Rfam family: Bacterial small subunit ribosomal RNA
Source: RNAcentral
AUUGAACGCUGGCGGCAGGCCUAACACAUGCAAGUCGAGCGAGCGGCGGACGGGUGAGUAAUGCCUGGUACUUGCCCAGUCUAGGGGUAUAACAGUUGGAAACGACUGCUAAUACCGCAUACGCUUGGAUUCCCCAGGUGGAAUUAGCUAGUUGGUGGGGUACUGGCUCACCAAGGCGACGAUCCCUAGCUGGUCUGAGAGGAUGAUCAGCAACACUGGAACUGAGACACGGUCCAGACUCCUACGGGAGGCAGCAGUGGGGAAUAUUGCACAAUGGGGGAAAGCCUGAUGCAGCCAUGCCGCGUGUGUGAAGAAGGCCUUCGGGUUGUAAAGCACUUUCAGCGAGGAGGCGUUACGCGCAGAAGAAGCACCGGCUAACUCCGUGCCAGCAGCCGCGGUAAUUC